Molecule: long non-coding RNA, 241 nt
Filed under: Gossypium barbadense (sea-island cotton)
Lineage: Eukaryota; Viridiplantae; Streptophyta; Magnoliopsida; Malvales; Malvaceae
Description: long non-coding RNA (GBAR_LNC000248)
Source: RNAcentral
CCCUAGACGACCUGAAAGUCAGAGUUGGGUUUCCAUUCCACAAAAUCUGUAUAGCGGAGUUAGUGAUAGCAGACAUAAUCACAUUAUAAAGGUAAUUCGAAAUACCUACUGUUUGGAGUGAUGCAUCAAUAAACUCCCAACACACUUGAUCGUAAGCUUUCUCCAAGUCAAUCUUGAUGGUCAACAGUUUUCUAGUCUUCUUCUUAAUUUUCAUGGAAUGAAAUACUUCCUGAGCAAUAAU